UACGUAGGGUGCAAGCGUUGUCCGGAAUUAUUGGGCGUAAAGAGCUCGUAGGCGGUUUGUCGCGUCUGCUGUGAAAACUCGGGGCUUAACCCCGGGCCUGCAGUGGGUACGGGCAGACUAGAGUGCGGUAGGGGAGACUGGAAUUCCUGGUGUAGCGGUGAAAUGCGCAGAUAUCGGGAGGAACACCCGUAGCGAAGGCGGCACUCUGGGCCGGUACUGACGCUGAGGAGCGAAAGCGUGGGGAGCAAACAGG
Molecule: ribosomal RNA, 253 nt
Filed under: uncultured bacterium
Lineage: Bacteria
Description: partial 16S ribosomal RNA
Rfam family: Bacterial small subunit ribosomal RNA
Source: RNAcentral